GUGACGGUAGGAGCAGAAGAAGCACCGGCCAACUACGUGCCAGCAGCCGCGGUAAUACGUAGGGUGCGAGCGUUGUCCGGAAUUAUUGGGCGUAAAGAGCUCGUAGGCGGUUUGUCGCGUCGAAUGUGAAAACCCCGGACUCAACUCCGGGCCUGCAUUCGAUACGGGCAGACUAGAGUUCGGUAGGGGAGAAUGGAAUUCCUGGUGUAGCGGUGAAAUGCGCAGAUAUCAGGAGGAACACCGGUGGCGAAGGCGGGUCUCUGGGCCGAUACUGACGCUGAGGAGCGAAAGCGUGGGGAGCGAACAGGAUUAGAUACCCUGGUAGUCCACGCCGUAAACGUUGGGCGCUAGGUGUGGGG
This 359-nucleotide ribosomal RNA is filed under the name uncultured bacterium. Its description in RNAcentral is "bacterial SSU rRNA". It matches the Rfam family "Bacterial small subunit ribosomal RNA", at positions 469 to 827 of the family's 1533-position model. The record is from RNAcentral.